This is a non-coding RNA of Phrynosoma platyrhinos (Desert horned lizard), 72 nucleotides long. NCBI's taxonomy places the organism in Eukaryota, Metazoa, Chordata, Lepidosauria, Squamata, Phrynosomatidae. The record is from the annotation of a GenBank genome assembly.
GCCAGUGUGAUGUAGUGGUUUGAGUGUGGAGCUAUGACUCUAUGGACCAGGGUUCAAUUCCCCGCACUGCCG